Molecule: ribosomal RNA, 467 nt
Filed under: uncultured bacterium
Lineage: Bacteria
Description: partial 16S ribosomal RNA
Rfam family: Bacterial small subunit ribosomal RNA
Source: RNAcentral
GACGAACGCUGGCGGCGUGCUUAACACAUGCAAGUCGGGCGGAAAAGCCCUGCUUUUUCCGGGUGCUCGAGUGGCGCACGGGUGUGAAGCCGAGGGUACUCUGUCCUUGUCUUUGGGAUAACCUCAGGACGCUGGCUCUUAUACCGGACGGCAUCUGCUGCUGCAUGGUGGGGGUUGGAAAGUUUCGGCGGCUGGGGAUGGUCGUGCGGCUUAUCUGCUUGUUGGUGGGGUAGUGGCCUACGAAGGCUGUGCCGGAUAGGCGGCCUGAGAGGGUGACCGGCCACAAGGGGACUGAGAGACGGACCAGAGUGGUAUGGGGGGCAGCGGGGGGAAAUAUUGCACAAUGAGGGGAAGUCUGAUGCGGCAACGCCGCGUGCGGGAAGAAGGCCUUCGGGUUGUAAACCGCUGUAGGCUGAGACGAAGCGGGAGUGACGGUAAUGGGUAAAGAAGCACCGGCUAACUACGUG